This 542-nucleotide ribosomal RNA is filed under the name uncultured bacterium. RNAcentral's name for it is "bacterial SSU rRNA". It matches the Rfam family "Bacterial small subunit ribosomal RNA", at positions 355 to 888 of the family's 1533-position model. The record is from RNAcentral.
UGGGGAAUAUUGGACAAUGGGCGCAAGCCUGAUCCAGCAACGCCGCGUGGAGGAUGAAGGUCUUCGGAUUGUAAACUCCUGUCAGGCGGGACGAAGGCUUCGGGGUAAAUAAUCCCGGAGCUUGACGGUACUGCCAGAGGAAGCCCCGGCUAACUCCGUGCCAGCAGCCGCGGUAAUACGGAGGGGGCGAGCGUUAUUCGGAAUUAUUGGGCGUAAAGGGCGCGUAGGCGGCCCGGUAAGUCAAAGGUGAAAUCCCUCGGCUCAACUGAGGAACUGCCUUUGAAACUGCUGGGCUUGAGUCCGGGAGGGGGUAGCGGAAUUCCCAGUGUAGCGGUGAAAUGCGUAGAUAUUGGGAGGAACACCGGUGGCGAAGGCGGCUACCUGGACCGGCACUGACGCUGAGGCGCGAAAGCGUGGGGAGCAAACAGGAUUAGAUACCCUGGUAGUCCACGCUGUAAACGAUGGGUGCUCGGUGUCGCGGGUAUCGACCCCUGCGGUGCCUUAGCUAACGCGUUAAGCACCCCGCCUGGGGAGUACGGUCG